RNAcentral lists this ribosomal RNA (1350 nucleotides) under Salmonella enterica subsp. enterica serovar Typhimurium. RNAcentral's name for it is "partial 23S ribosomal RNA". It matches the Rfam family "Bacterial large subunit ribosomal RNA", at positions 416 to 1582 of the family's 2925-position model. The record is from RNAcentral. Lineage: Bacteria; Pseudomonadati; Pseudomonadota; Gammaproteobacteria; Enterobacterales; Enterobacteriaceae.
GGCGGGACACGUGGUAUCCUGUCUGAAUAUGGGGGGACCAUCCUCCAAGGCUAAAUACUCCUGACUGACCGAUAGUGAACCAGUACCGUGAGGGAAAGGCGAAAAGAACCCCGGCGAGGGGAGUGAAAAAGAACCUGAAACCGUGUACGUACAAGCAGUGGGAGCCCCACCACUAAGCCAGUGGUGAACUCCACAUCCGCAUCCUUUGCUGAGGAUACGGUUAACGGAGCGAAAGCGACGUUCAACCGCAAAACAAGCAGAGGGGGCUUAGUGGUGGGGUGACUGCGUACCUUUUGUAUAAUGGGUCAGCGACUUAUAUUCUGUAGCAAGGUUAACCGAAUAGGGGAGCCGGAGGGAAACCGAGUCUUAAUUGGGCGUUAAGUUGCAGGGUAUAGACCCGAAACCCGGUGAUCUAGCCAUGGGCAGGUUGAAGGUUGGGUAACACUAACUGGAGGACCGAACCGACUAAUGUUGAAAAAUUAGCGGAUGACCUGUGGCUGGGGGUGAAAGGCCAAUCAAACCGGGAGAUAGCUGGUUCUCCCCGAAAGCUAUUUAGGUAGCGCCUCGUGAAUUCAUCUCCGGGGGUAGAGCACUGUUUCGGCUAGGGGGCCAUCCCGGCUUACCAACCCGAUGCAAACUGCGAAUACCGGAGAAUGUUAUCACGGGAGACACACGGCGGGUGCUAACGUCCGUCGUGAAGAGGGAAACAACCCAGACCGCCAGCUAAGGUCCCAAAGUCAUGGUUAAGUGGGAAACGAUGUGGGAAGGCCCAGACAGCCAGGAUGUUGGCUUAGAAGCAGCCAUCAUUUAAAGAAAGCGUAAUAGCUCACUGGUCGAGUCGGCCUGCGCGGAAGAUGUAACGGGGCUAAACCAUGCACCGAAGCUGCGGCAGCGAACGUAUCACCCAAGACAACUUUACGGAGUUGACGAUUGACGGAGCGAAGCGACGUCAAAGCGUUCAUUAAAGUCGAGUUGGCUUAGGGAUACGUUCGUUGGGUAGGGGAGCGUUCUGUAAGCCUGUGAAGGUGUGUCGUGAGGCAUGCUGGAGGUAUCAGAAGUGCGAAUGCUGACAUAAGUAACGAUAAAGCGGGUGAAAAGCCCGCUCGCCGGAAGACCAAGGGUUCCUGUCCAACGUUAAUCGGGGCAGGGUGAGUCGACCCCUAAGGCGAGGCCGAAAGGCGUAGUCGAUGGGAAACGGGUUAAUAUUCCCGUACUUGGUGUUACUGCGAAGGGGGGACGGAGAAGGCUAUGUUGGCCGGGCGACGGUUGUCCCGGUUUAAGCGUGUAGGUGUGUGUUCCAGGUAAAUCCGGUUCACUUUAACACUGAGGCGUGACGACGAGGCACUACGG